Molecule: ribosomal RNA, 422 nt
Filed under: uncultured bacterium
Lineage: Bacteria
Description: bacterial SSU rRNA
Rfam family: Bacterial small subunit ribosomal RNA
Source: RNAcentral
UUUUCGGCAAUGGGGGCAACCCUGACCGAGCAAUGCCGCGUGAACGAUGAAGAUCUUCGGAUCGUACAGUUCUGUGAUCGGGGAAGAACGGCAUGACCAGGGAAUGGGUCAUGAUUGACGGUACCUGAUUAGAAAGCCCCGGCUACCUAUGUGCCAGCAGCCGCGGUAAUACAUAGGGGGCGAGAGUUAUCCGGAAUUAUUGGGCGUAAAGCGUACGUAGGCGGACUGUUAAGUCUGGUGUGAAAUCCCGCGGCUUAACCGCGGAGGGUCACUGGAAACUGGCAGGCUUGAGUACGGCAGGGGUAAGUGGAAUUCCAAGUGGAGCGGUGAAAUGCGUAGAUAUUUGGAGGAACACCAGUGGCGAAGGCGGCUUACUGGGCCGGAACUGACGCUGAGGUACGAAAGCGUGGGGAGCAAACAGG